UUCCGGUUGAUCCUGCCGGAGGUUACUGCUAUCGGUGUUCGGCUAAGCCAUGCAAGUCAUAUGUUCCUCGUGAACAUGGCAUACUGCUCAGUAACACGUGGAUAACCUGCCCUUGGGUCUGGGAUAACCCCGGGAAACUGGGGAUAAUACCGGAUGACGCAUAUGUGCUGGAAUGCUUUAUGCGUAAAACGGAUUCGUCCGCCCAAGGAUGGGUCUGCGGCCUAUCAGGUAGUAGUGGGUGUAAUGUACCUACUAGCCAACAACGGGUACGGGUUGUGAGAGCAAGAGCCCGGAGAUGGAUUCUGAGACAUGAAUCCAGGCCCUACGGGGCGCAGCAGGCGCGAAAACUUUACAAUGCGGGAAACCGUGAUAAGGGAACACCGAGUGCCAGCAUCAUAUGCUGGCUGUCCAGAUGUGUAAACUACAUCUGUUAGCAAGGGCCGGGCAAGACCGGUGCCAGCCGCCGCGGUAACACCGGCGGCCCGAGUGGUGACCGUUAUUAUUGAG
RNAcentral lists this ribosomal RNA (507 nucleotides) under uncultured archaeon. Its description in RNAcentral is "bacterial SSU rRNA". It matches the Rfam family "Archaeal small subunit ribosomal RNA", at positions 1 to 508 of the family's 1478-position model. The record is from RNAcentral.